UAGCAAGCUGGCCCUUCACUACUCUUUGUUGUGUCAGCAGGAGAUCCUUUAGAGGCAGAAGUCUAGAGUCUAAUGGAUUAGAGAGGGAGAUAAGAAUAUAAGAUUCUUUCACCAAUCAACCAUCACGAGGAGAUAGAGGAACCGGAUCAGGGUGCUGUGUGAUGAGGUGGGAGACUAGAUUGAGGAUGAGCAAGGGAUUUGACAGGAGCUUCUCCACUUCUUCCCUAAGCGGUGGACUGCUCAUCUGGG
This 249-nucleotide long non-coding RNA is filed under the name Elaeis guineensis (African oil palm). Its description in RNAcentral is "long non-coding RNA (EGUI_LNC020900)". Lineage: Eukaryota; Viridiplantae; Streptophyta; Magnoliopsida; Arecales; Arecaceae. The record is from RNAcentral.